RNAcentral lists this ribosomal RNA (386 nucleotides) under uncultured bacterium. Its description in RNAcentral is "bacterial SSU rRNA". It matches the Rfam family "Bacterial small subunit ribosomal RNA", at positions 28 to 412 of the family's 1533-position model. The record is from RNAcentral.
GACGAACGCUGGCGGCGUGCUUAACACAUGCAAGUCGAGCGGUAAGGCCCUUUCGGGGGUACACGAGCGGCGAACGGGUGAGUAACACGUGGGUGACCUGCCCUCAGCUCUGGGAUAAGCCUGGGAAACCGGGUCUAAUACUGGAUAUGACUCCAUGACGCAUGUUGUGGGGUGGAAAGCCUUGUGCGGCUGAGGAUGGGCCCGCGGCCUAUCAGCUUGUUGGUGGGGUGANGGCCUACCAAGGCGACGACGGGUAGCCGGCCUGAGAGGGCGACCGGCCACACUGGGACUGAGACACGGCCCUGACUCCUACGGGAGGCAGCAGUGGGGAAUCUUGCGCAAAGUGGGACGAAAGCCUGACGCAGCGACGCCGCGUGAGGGAUGAC